CCUGGGGUGACGAAGCUGGUAGACGUGGCGGUCUGAGAGGCCGCUGUCGAAAGACGGGCGGGUUCGAAUCCCGCUCCCAGGACCA
This 85-nucleotide transfer RNA is filed under the name Brevundimonas phage vB_BgoS-Bajun. RNAcentral describes it as "tRNA-Leu". It matches the Rfam family "tRNA". From Rfam's summary of the family: Transfer RNA (tRNA) molecules are approximately 80 nucleotides in length. Their secondary structure includes four short double-helical elements and three loops (D, anti-codon, and T loops). Lineage: Duplodnaviria; Heunggongvirae; Uroviricota; Caudoviricetes. The record is from RNAcentral.